This 390-nucleotide ribosomal RNA is filed under the name Eukaryota sp. RNAcentral describes it as "SSU rRNA". It matches the Rfam family "Eukaryotic small subunit ribosomal RNA", at positions 827 to 1211 of the family's 1831-position model. The record is from RNAcentral.
CGCUGGGUCGUAUUUCGUUGGUUUCACGGGUCCGGCGGUCAUGAUCAAUAGGGACAGUCGGGGGCAUUCAUAUUUCAUUGUCAGAGGUGAAAUUCUUGGAUUUAUGAAAGAUGAACUAGUGCGAAAGCAUUUGCCAAGGAUGUUUUCAUUAAUCAAGGACUAAAGUCGAGGGAUCGAAGACGAUCAGAUACCGUCGUAGUCUCGACCAUAAACGAUGCCGACUAGGGAUCGGGGGUUGUUUUUCUCAUAGAGACACCCUUGGCACCUUGAGAGAAAUCGAAGUUUUUGGGUUCCGGGGGGAGUAUGGUCGCAAGGCUGAAACUUAAAGGAAUUGACGGAAGGGCACCACCAGGAGUGGAGCCUGCGGCUUAAUUUGACUCAACACGGGGA